RNAcentral lists this transfer RNA (70 nucleotides) under Dendronephthya gigantea. RNAcentral's name for it is "tRNA-Pro". It matches the Rfam family "tRNA". Rfam says of the family: Transfer RNA (tRNA) molecules are approximately 80 nucleotides in length. Their secondary structure includes four short double-helical elements and three loops (D, anti-codon, and T loops). The record is from RNAcentral. Lineage: Eukaryota; Metazoa; Cnidaria; Anthozoa; Malacalcyonacea; Nephtheidae.
GGCUUGCUGGUCUAGUGGUAUGAUUCUCGCUUAGGGUGCGAGGUCACGGGUUUGAUUCCCGUGCAAGCCC